CUCCUACGGGAGGCAGCAGUAGGGAAUCUUCCGCAAUGGGCGCAAGCCUGACGGAGCAACGCCGCGUGAGUGAGGAAGGCCUUCGGGUUGUAAAACUCAGUCACCUGGGAAGAGAGGUAUGGGGAGUGGAAUGCCCCAUACGAGACGGUACCAGGGGAGGAAGCCCCGGCUAACUACGUGCCAGCAGCCGCGGUAAUACGUAGGGGGCAAGCGUUGUCCGGAAUCACUGGGCGUAAAGCGUGCGUAGGCGGUCUUUCAAGUCCGGGGUGAAAACUCAAGGCUCAACCUUGAGAAUGCCUUGGAAACUGGGGGACUUGAGUACUGGAGAGGCAAGGGGAAUUCCACGUGUAGCGGUGAAAUGCGUAGAGAUGUGGAGGAAUACCAGUGGCGAAGGCGCCUUGCUGGACAGUGACUGACGCUGAGGCACGAAAGCGUGGGGAGCAAACAGGAUUAGAUACCCUGGUAGUCCACGCUGUAAACGAUGAGUGCUAGGUGUUGGGGGUUCAUCCCCUCAGUGCCGAAGGAAACCCAAUAAGCACUCCGCCUGGGGAGUACGGUCGCAAGACUGAAACUCAAAGGAAUUGACGGGGGCCCGCACAAGCAGUGGAGCAUGUGGUUUAAUUCGAAGCAACGCGAAGAACCUUACCAGGGCUUGACAUCCCUCUGACCGGUUCAGAGAUGGACCUUCCCUUCGGGGCAGAGGAGACAGGUGGUGCAUGGUUGUCGUCAGCUCGUGUCGUGAGAUGUUGGGUUAAGUCCCGCAACGAGCGCAACCCUUGACCUGUGUUACCAGCACGUAAUGGUGGGGACUCACAGGUGACUGCCGGCGUAAGUCGGAGGAAGGUGGGGAUGACGUCAAAUCAUCAUGCCCUUUAUGUCCUGGGCUACACACGUGCUACAAUGGGCGGUACAACGGGAAGCGAGACCGCGAGGUGGAGCGAAACCCAAAAAGCCGUUCGUAGUUCGGAUUGCAGGCUGCAACCCGCCUGCAUGAAGCCGGAAUUGCUAGUAAUCGCGGAUCAGCAUGCCGCGGUGAAUCCGUUCCCGGGCCUUGUACACACCGCCCGU
RNAcentral lists this ribosomal RNA (1068 nucleotides) under Alicyclobacillus sp. enrichment culture clone MRT18-12. RNAcentral describes it as "bacterial SSU rRNA". It matches the Rfam family "Bacterial small subunit ribosomal RNA", at positions 336 to 1397 of the family's 1533-position model. The record is from RNAcentral. Lineage: Bacteria; Bacillati; Bacillota; Bacilli; Caryophanales; Alicyclobacillaceae.